This 496-nucleotide ribosomal RNA is filed under the name uncultured bacterium. Its description in RNAcentral is "partial 16S ribosomal RNA". It matches the Rfam family "Bacterial small subunit ribosomal RNA", at positions 28 to 506 of the family's 1533-position model. The record is from RNAcentral.
GAUGAACGCUGGCGGCGUGCCUAAUACAUGCCAGUCGAGCGAACAGACGAGGAGCUUGCUCCUCUGACGUUAGCGGCGGACGGGUGAGUAACACGUGGAUAACCUACCUAUAAGACUGGGAUAACUUCGGGAAACCGGAGCUAAUACCGGAUAAUAUAUUGAACCGCAUGGUUCAAUAGUGAAAGACGGUUUUGCUGUCACUUAUAGAUGGAUCCGCGCCGCAUUAGCUAGUUGGUAAGGUAACGGCUUACCAAGGCAACGAUGCGUAGCCGACCUGAGAGGGUGAUCGGCCACACUGGAACUGAGACACGGUCCAGACUCCUACGGGAGGCAGCAGGAGGGAAUCUUCCGCAAUGGGCGAAAGCCUGACGGAGCAACGCCGCGUGAGUGAUGAAGGUCUUCGGAUCGUAAAACUCUGUUAUUAGGGAAGAACAAAUGUGUAAGUAACUAUGCACGUCUUGACGGUACCUAAUCAGAAAGCCACGGCUAACUACGU